RNAcentral lists this ribosomal RNA (504 nucleotides) under uncultured bacterium. Its description in RNAcentral is "partial 16S ribosomal RNA". It matches the Rfam family "Bacterial small subunit ribosomal RNA", at positions 28 to 506 of the family's 1533-position model. The record is from RNAcentral.
GACGAACGCUGGCGGCGUGCCUAAUACAUGCAAGUAGAACGCACAGUUUAUACCGUAGCUUGCUACACCAUAGACUGUGAGUUGCGAACGGGUGAGUAACGCGUAGGUAACCUGCCUGGUAGCGGGGGAUAACUAUUGGAAACGAUAGCUAAUACCGCAUAAUAUUAAUUAUUGCAUGAUAAUUAAUUGAAAGGUGCAAUUGCACCACUACCAGAUGGACCUUCGUUGUAUUAGCUAGUAGGUGAGGUAACGGCUCACCUAGGCGACGAUACAUAGCCGACCUGAGAGGGUGACCGGCCACACUGGGACUGAGACACGGCCCAGACUCCUACGGGAGGCAGCAGUAGGGAAUCUUCGGCAAUGGACGAAAGUCUGACCGAGCAACGCCGCGUGAGUGAAGAAGGUUUUCGGAUCGUAAAGCUCUGUUGUAAGAGAAGAACGGGUGUGAGAGUGGAAAGUUCACACUGUGACGGUAUCUUACCAGAAAGGGACGGCUAACUACGU